CUCUCGUUUUUGUUUUUUAUCAUUUUUUUUAUUUUUUGGUGCCGGUGUUCAGUCAUGGCACUGAGGCCGCCGGGCUAAUCUCAUACGCUCCUCCCGGCUGUCUCUACCUGCAGGCUGAAUCUCGUUUUUUUUUUUUUUUCCCCGUAUGAGCCUGUGCGCACCACGUGACCACGCAGUUGACAGAAAGAUGCAAAGUAGAAAGAGCAAGGGUGGCGCGGAGAAGGCAAUAAUUAAAAAGAGGAAAGCGCUGGAAACAGAUGCAGCUAAAUGUGCAAAAAUGAGCACCUUUUUUCUCAAACAAGCUUGCGGUCUUUAACUUCAAAUGAAGAUAAAACGGCCCACAAGAUCCAGUAGGCCUAAUAAGCACCAGGCAGAAACCCACCAUUCCAGAGUGGACAUGUACAGUGUCAGAAGAAGAGCCAGGAGCCAGCAGUGAGGGUAUUGCUCCUGUUGGGAUAGAAGGUGAGCCAACUCAUGUGCAAACAUCAGUUUCAUUAUAAUAAUUGUAAUGUCCAAAUAAUAGUAGUGACCUGUUGUAUUUUUAUUAGUAAAUGCACAAAGCCCACAACAAAUCGCUAUUAGAAUGAAAGUAAAAUGAAAUAAGCCUGCAUAUUUUGCCAUAGAAAAUAUUUUAAUUGGUUACAAAAAAUGUGUUUUCCAUAUCAAAUGUGCUAAAGCUUUACAGAUGAUUAUUUUAAUUGUGUGCAGGUGAGUCUAGGGAAACUGGAAAAAGUGUGAAAGGGAGUGCUGAGUCAUUUCAUUUUAAAGGUUUGAAAAUCUCAGAACAGCUGUUUGAACAGCAUGUAGAUUGUUAUAUUGUUAGAGAAUGUGUUGUAAAGAACAAUGUUGGAGAUGUGCACUGAUGUUCAAAUAAACCUACAUUGUAAAGCAACUCUUUCUUGCACUGAAUUACAAGGCUUUACCGAGUAGUGUGCUUUUGUAGACUAUACAUAUAAAGUUCUAACAUGAUUUUAAUAAUAAUUCGUUAAGUGGGCCGGUCUGGGGUCUGAAACUCCAGGGCUGAAAAUGUGUCCCACUCCGG
Long non-coding RNA from Nothobranchius furzeri (turquoise killifish), 1042 nucleotides. RefSeq lists it as uncharacterized. NCBI's taxonomy places the organism in Eukaryota, Metazoa, Chordata, Actinopteri, Cyprinodontiformes, Nothobranchiidae. The record is from RefSeq and is a predicted model, not a curated record.